Molecule: long non-coding RNA, 483 nt
Organism: Ceratina calcarata
Lineage: Eukaryota; Metazoa; Arthropoda; Insecta; Hymenoptera; Apidae
Exons: 3
Source: RefSeq, a predicted model, not a curated record
AACGCGACGGACGGUCUGUUCCACUGGUUGCCGGCUUCCACGUGGACGCGGCUCUUUUCCUCCGGUACGUUCUCUUCCCAAGUUGUUCCCUUCGUUCCGAUCCGCGCGUGUGUGAAUCACGACUGCCCGUGACCAAAGUGAGAAUUCUGUGUGACAGUGAGAAAUCACAGUUUCUGUUCGAUCUCGUGUUCAGAAAUUACGCGUCACGAGUGAGAGUUCAGUGGAUCAGAUAACAAGCGAUAAGUACGUGUUCGGUGAGACUCGGACGGUGUUUCCUCGGAGCCCAUCCACCUUUUUGGAUUACUAGAAUCGAGAGCGACGGCCGACGCAGGGAUCCGACGCUUUGAAAAGGUACGUCAAGACAGGAUUUGUUCAUAGUAUGACUGCAAACAUGUGUGAGCCUGUCCAAGCAUUGAAAUGAAUGAAGCCAGCAAUGUCUACUUAUGAAAUCCGAUCCGAACGUAAAAAUAAUCGUUCCGCAUU